Molecule: unclassified non-coding RNA, 89 nt
Filed under: Pseudomonas sp. B10
Lineage: Bacteria; Pseudomonadati; Pseudomonadota; Gammaproteobacteria; Pseudomonadales; Pseudomonadaceae
Source: RNAcentral
UGUGGGAGCUGGCUUGCCAGCGAUAGCGGUGUGUCAGAGAAGGAUUUAUUAGCUGACCCACUGCAAUCGCUGGCAAGCCAGCUCCCACA